RNAcentral lists this small RNA (1082 nucleotides) under Pan troglodytes (chimpanzee). Its description in RNAcentral is "processed transcript". The record is from RNAcentral. Lineage: Eukaryota; Metazoa; Chordata; Mammalia; Primates; Hominidae.
UAGAGCGGGUCACGUGAGCGCCUCGCCUGGAUGUGAGUUUCAGCCAGACCUGUGGAUAUCUGGGCUUUGGGCUGUAUGAUCAUUGAGAUGGCCACUGGAAAUCCCUAUCUUCCUAGUAGUUCUGAUUUGGAUUUACUCCAUAAAAUUGUUUUGAAAGUGGAUUCAUGCCAGAACUGAAAGCUAAAUUACUGCAGGAAGCAAAAGUCAAUUCAUUAAUAAAGCCAAAAGAGAGUUCUAAAGAAAAUGAACUCAGGAAAGAUGAAAGAAAAACAGUUUAUACCAAUACACUGCUAAGUAGUUCAGUUUUGGGAAAGGAAAUAGAAAAAGAGAAAAAGCCCAAGGAGAUCAAAGUCAGAGUUAUUAAAGUCAAAGGAAGAAGAGGAGAUAUCUCAGAACCAAAAAAGAAAGAGUAUGAAGGUGGACUUGGUCAACAGGAUGCAAAUGAAAAUGUUCAUCCUAUGUCUCCAGAUACAAAACUUGUAACCAUUGAACCACCAAACCCUAUCAAUCCCAGCACUAACUGUAAUGGCUUGAAAGAAAAUCCACAUUGCGGAGGUUCUGUGACAAUGCCACCCAUCAAUCUAACUAACAGUAAUUUGAUGGCUGCAAAUCUCAGUUCAAAUCUCUUUCACCCCAGUGUGAGAGCCAAAUGGAGAAGGGUAUAUUUAAUGAGCGAACAGGUCACAGUGACCAAAUGGCAAAUGAGAACAAAAGGAAGCUGAAUUUUUCCAGAUCUGACAGGAAAGAAUUCCAUUUUCCAGAAUUGCCUGUCACAAUACAGUCAAAAGAUACAAAAGGAAUGGAAGUUAAACAGAUAAAAAUGCUGAAGAGGGAGUCAAAGAAAACAGAGUCAUCUAAGAUACCAACUUUACUUAACGUGGAUCAAAAUCAAGAAAAACAAGAGGCUAAAGAAAUCCUGACAAAAGAAUCCAACGUGCAAGAGGUUCGAUGUCCAGUUACUGUCUGUGGAGAUGUGCAUGGGCAAUUUCAUGAUCUCAUGGAACUGUUUAGAAUUGGUGGCAAAUCACCAGAUACAAAUUACUUGUUUAUGGGAGAUUAUGUUGACAGAGGAUAUUAUUCAG